This 440-nucleotide ribosomal RNA is filed under the name uncultured bacterium. RNAcentral describes it as "partial 16S ribosomal RNA". It matches the Rfam family "Bacterial small subunit ribosomal RNA", at positions 338 to 795 of the family's 1533-position model. The record is from RNAcentral.
CCUACGGGUGGCAGCAGUGGGGAAUAUUGCACAAUGGGGGAAACCCUGAUGCAGCGACGCCGCGUGAGUGAAGAAGUAAUUCGGUACGUAAAGCUCUAUCAGCAGGAAAGAAAAUGACGGUACCUGACUAAGAAGCCCCGGCUAACUACGUGCCAGCAGCCGCGGUAAUACGUAGGGGGCAAGCGUUAUCCGGAUUUACUGGGUGUAAAGGGAGCGUAGACGGCAGCGCAAGUCUGGAGUGAAAUGCCGGGGCCCAACCCCGGAACUGCUCUGGAAACUGUGAAGCUGGAGUGCAGGAGAGGUAAGCGGAAUUCCUGGUGUAGCGGUGAAAUGCGUAGAUAUCAGGAGGAACACCGGCGGCGAAGGCGACCUGCUGGAACAUUACUGACGCUGAUGCACGAAAGCGUGGGGAGCAAACAGGAUUAGAUACCCUAGUAGUC